UUUCCGUAGGUGAACCUGCGGAGGGAUCAUUAACACGUAUCCACGUAUUAAACCACAGUUGAACUGUCUGUUGUGUUGAGGUUGGAGCGAAAGGCUAUGUGGUGAGGAGUGGAAACACUCCCGUCUUCGUUUCCACCUGGAGAAGAGGAAAAAGAUUUCCAAUUUUUUUCUUCUCUCUCUGGAAGUCUCAGCGCGGCGUAUCACCACGGUUUUUAUUAACCACUAUGAAUUUAUGUACUAAUAUUGACUGAAAAGAUGAAAGGGAGUCUUUGACUUUCCAUCCUCUUUUUCUGUUUUUUUACGAAAACACUGAACAACUCUUAGCAACGGAUAUCUUGGUUCCC
Molecule: unclassified non-coding RNA, 344 nt
Filed under: plant metagenome
Description: partial contains small subunit ribosomal RNA, internal transcribed spacer 1, and 5.8S ribosomal RNA
Source: RNAcentral